Thalassophryne amazonica is the source of this 604-nucleotide long non-coding RNA. RefSeq lists it as uncharacterized. The transcript has 3 exons. NCBI's taxonomy places the organism in Eukaryota, Metazoa, Chordata, Actinopteri, Batrachoidiformes, Batrachoididae. The record is from RefSeq and is a predicted model, not a curated record.
CUAUCAGGUUACAAAAACAGCAUUUACAGUUUUAGAAGUGUUUAUUUCUUGCUAGCUUUUACAUAAUAUAUGAAUGAAUGAAGUCAGAACAGGAGAAAGAACCCUAUCUUUACUUUGUGUUGUUGUAUUUGAGUGUGAAAGAAGCUCUGUGCAGCAAUGUUAGCUUAGCUUAGCUGUGUGCUAAAACUGAGGGGAAAAAACAACAACCUGUGCAGCAACCAAUUUUUUAUUGGGGGGGGGGGGGGGUGUUUCCAAAAAUCAUAUGCAAUUAUUACAAAAUAAAACUAUGCACCAAGAUAUGAAAUAUGCACAUCUCCCUCCCAUAUCAACAGUAUAUACAUGCAAGUUCACUUUUUACCAAUUUAGGGAGAUGUUCCCAAUAGAAUCUUUAACCAGUACACCUGUAUAAUGCAGAUUUAUCUCCUAAAUGUUGUUUCAGGAGACUAGAAUUGUAAAAGCAAGAAAACAGACUGUGAAAACAUUCCAGCUUUCCUUGUGGCAAGUUUUGAUCUGGGAUUUAGGAUCACUGCCAGAAAACAUCUUAACUCCAUUAUCCCCACUUACUGCAUCCCAAAUCAUUUUUGGGGAAUAAGAGGUUUUAUUU